Molecule: ribosomal RNA, 465 nt
Filed under: uncultured bacterium
Lineage: Bacteria
Description: bacterial SSU rRNA
Rfam family: Bacterial small subunit ribosomal RNA
Source: RNAcentral
CCUACGGGUUGCAGCAGUGGGGAAUAUUGCGCAAUGGGCGCAAGCCUGAUGCAGCCAUGCCGCGUGUAUGAAGAAGGCCUUCGGGUUGUAAAGUACUUUCAGCGAGGAGGAAGGCAUUAAGGUUAAUAACCUUGGUGAUUGACGUUACUCGCAGAAGAAGCACCGGCUAACUCUGUGCCAGCAGCCGCGGUAAUACGGAGGGUGCAAGCGUUAAUCGGAAUUACUGGGCGUAAAGCGCACGCAGGCGGUCUGUCAAGUCGGAUGUGAAAUCCCCGGGCUCAACCUGGGAACUGCAUUCGAAACUGGCAGGCUAGAGUCUUGUAGAGGGGGGUAGAAUUCCAGGUGUAGCGGUGAAAUGCGUAGAGAUCUGGAGGAAUACCGGUGGCGAAGGCGGCCCCCUGGACAAAGACUGACGCUCAGGUGCGAAAGCGUGGGGAGCAAACAGGAUUAGAUACCCCGGUAGUC